Molecule: ribosomal RNA, 843 nt
Filed under: uncultured bacterium
Lineage: Bacteria
Description: bacterial SSU rRNA
Rfam family: Bacterial small subunit ribosomal RNA
Source: RNAcentral
ACGAGUGGCGGACGGGUGAGUAAUGCUUGGGAACUUGCCUUUGCGAGGGGGAUAACAGUUGGAAACGACUGCUAAUACCGCAUAAUGUCUACGGACCAAACGGGGCUUAGGCUCCGGCGCAAAGAGAGGCCCAAGUGAGAUUAGCUAGAUGGUGAGGUAAAGGCUCACCAUGGCAACGAUCUCUAGCUGUUCUGAGAGGAAGAUCAGCCACACUGGGACUGAGACACGGCCCAGACUCCUACGGGAGGCAGCAGUGGGGAAUAUUGCACAAUGGGGGAAACCCUGAUGCAGCCAUGCCGCGUGUGUGAAGAAGGCCUUCGGGUUGUAAAGCACUUUCAGUUGUGAGGAAAGGGUGUUGGUUAAUACCCAAUAUCUGUGACGUUAACAACAGAAGAAGCACCGGCUAACUCCGUGCCAGCAGCCGCGGUAAUACGGAGGGUGCGAGCGUUAAUCGGAAUUACUGGGCGUAAAGCGCACGCAGGCGGUUUGUUAAGCUAGAUGUGAAAGCCCCGGGCUCAACCUGGGACGGUCAUUUAGAACUGGCAGACUAGAGUCUUGGAGAGGGGAGUGGAAUUCCAGGUGUAGCGGUGAAAUGCGUAGAUAUCUGGAGGAACAUCAGUGGCGAAGGCGACUCCCUGGCCGAAGACUGACGCUCAUGUGCGAAAGUGUGGGUAGCGAACAGGAUUAGAUACCCUGGUAGUCCACACCGUACACGCUGUCUACUAGCUGUGUGUGAAUUUAAUUCGUGCGUAGCGAAGCUAACGCGCUAAGUAGACCGCCUGGGGAGUACGGCCGCACGGUUAAAACUCAAAUGAAUUGACAGGGGCCCGCACAAGCGGUGGA